Molecule: ribosomal RNA, 316 nt
Filed under: uncultured eukaryote
Lineage: Eukaryota
Description: partial 18S ribosomal RNA
Rfam family: Eukaryotic small subunit ribosomal RNA
Source: RNAcentral
CCCUUAGAUGUUCUGGGCCGCACGCGCGCUACACUGGUGCGUUCAACAAGUUUACAACCUUGAUUGACAAGUCUGGGUAAUCUUUUGAAUGCGCACCGUGCUAGGGAUAGAUUAUUGCAAUUAUUAAUCUUGAACGAGGAAUUCCUAGUAAACGCAAGUCAUCAGCUUGCAUUGAUUACGUCCCUGCCCUUUGUACACACCGCCCGUCGCACCUACCGAUUGAAUGGUCCGGUGAAGCCUCCGGAUUGGCGCGCACCUCGGUGCCGCCGAGAAGUUGGCUAAACCUUACCAUUUAGAGGAAGGUGAAGUCGUANCA